Molecule: long non-coding RNA, 129 nt
Organism: Sinocyclocheilus rhinocerous
Lineage: Eukaryota; Metazoa; Chordata; Actinopteri; Cypriniformes; Cyprinidae
Exons: 3
Source: RefSeq, a predicted model, not a curated record
CUUAUACUGUCCAUUAUGGUGCUCAAGCCUUAACCCUUGUGUUGUGUUCAGAACCCUAUCACACUUACGAUGUUACAGAGCAAAAAGGUCCCGGCCUCAAAAAAUUGCUUAUAAAUCACUCAUUAUGCU